This 83-nucleotide transfer RNA is filed under the name Candidatus Zixiibacteriota bacterium. RNAcentral's name for it is "candidate division Zixibacteria bacterium (sediment metagenome) tRNA-Leu". It matches the Rfam family "tRNA". Rfam says of the family: Transfer RNA (tRNA) molecules are approximately 80 nucleotides in length. Their secondary structure includes four short double-helical elements and three loops (D, anti-codon, and T loops). Further hydrogen bonds mediate the characteristic L-shaped molecular structure. tRNAs have two regions of fundamental functional importance: the anti-codon, which is responsible for specific mRNA codon recognition, and the 3' end, to which the tRNAs corresponding amino acid is attached (by aminoacyl-tRNA synthetases). tRNAs cope with the degeneracy of the genetic code in two manners: having more than one tRNA (with a specific anti-codon) for a particular amino acid; and 'wobble' base-pairing, i.e. permitting non-standard base-pairing at the 3rd anti-codon position. The record is from RNAcentral. Lineage: Bacteria; Pseudomonadati; Candidatus Zixiibacteriota.
GCGGAAGUGGUGGAACUGGCAGACACACCAUCUUGAGGGGGUGGCGGGCUUCGCCCAUGCGGGUUCAAAUCCCGCCUUCCGCA